RNAcentral lists this ribosomal RNA (298 nucleotides) under uncultured bacterium. RNAcentral's name for it is "partial 16S ribosomal RNA". It matches the Rfam family "Bacterial small subunit ribosomal RNA", at positions 30 to 326 of the family's 1533-position model. The record is from RNAcentral.
AUUGAACGCUGGCGGCAUGCUUUACACAUGCAAGUCGAACGGUAACGCGGGGGCAACCCUGCGACGAGUGGCGAACGGGUGAGUAAUACAUCGGAACAUGUCCUGGAGUGGGGGAUAGCUCGGCGAAAGCCGGAUUAAUACCGCAUACGCUCUGAGGAGGAAAGCGGGGGACCUGGUAACGGGCCUCGCGCUGCGGGAGUGGCCGAUGUCGGAUUAGCUAGUUGGUGAGGUAAGGCUCACCAAGGCGACGAUCCGUAGCUGGUCUGAGAGGAUGAUCAGCCACACUGGGACUGAGACA